Molecule: ribosomal RNA, 425 nt
Filed under: uncultured bacterium
Lineage: Bacteria
Description: partial 16S ribosomal RNA
Rfam family: Bacterial small subunit ribosomal RNA
Source: RNAcentral
GAAUAUUGGACAAUGGGCGCAAGCCUGAUCCAGCCAUGCCGCGUGUGUGAAGAAGGUCUUCGGAUUGUAAAGCACUUUAAUUUGGGAGGAAGGGCAGUUAACGAAUACUUAACUGUUUUGACGUUACCAAAAGAAUAAGCACCGGCUAACUUCGUGCCAGCAGCCGCGGUAAUACGAAGGGUGCAAGCGUUAAUCGGAAUUACUGGGCGUAAAGCGCGCGUAGGUGGUUCGUUAAGUUGGAAGUGAAAGCCCCGGGCUCAACCUGGGAAUUGCUUUCAAAACUGGCGAGCUAGAGUACGGUAGAGGGUGGUGGAAUUUCCUGUGUAGCGGUGAAAUGCGUAGAUAUAGGAAGGAACAUCAGUGGCGAAGGCGACCACCUGGACUGAUACUGACACUGAGGUGCGAAAGCGUGGGGAGCAAACAGG